AGCACUAUAUUUAAACCAAUGGAUGGACAUUUUCCCCAUUCUCGGUUACGCUGUAGUGCUAAAGAAUUCCCUGGCUCUUCUUCCCCAGGCACAGCUGACCGCCAUUUGGCUGUUGCUUUGUGGAGUGAAGGAACACAG
This is a small nucleolar RNA of Echinops telfairi (small Madagascar hedgehog), 138 nucleotides long. NCBI's taxonomy places the organism in Eukaryota, Metazoa, Chordata, Mammalia, Afrosoricida, Tenrecidae. The record is from Ensembl.